This 475-nucleotide ribosomal RNA is filed under the name uncultured bacterium. RNAcentral describes it as "bacterial SSU rRNA". It matches the Rfam family "Bacterial small subunit ribosomal RNA", at positions 335 to 801 of the family's 1533-position model. The record is from RNAcentral.
ACUCCUACGGGAGGGCAGCAGUAGGGAAUCUUCCACAAUGGGCGCAAGCCUGAUGGAGCAACACCGCGUGAGUGAAGAAGGGUUUCGGCUCGUAAAGCUCUGUUGUUAAAGAAGAACACGUAUGAGAGUAACUGUUCAUACGUUGACGGUAUUUAACCAGAAAGUCACGGCUAACUACGUGCCAGCAGCCGCGGUAAUACGUAGGUGGCAAGCGUUAUCCGGAUUUAUUGGGCGUAAAGAGAGUGCAGGCGGUUUUCUAAGUCUGAUGUGAAAGCCUUCGGCUUAACCGGGAGAAGUGCAUCGGAAACUGGAUAACUUGAGUGCAGAAGAGGGUAGUGGAACUCCAUGUGUAGCGGUGGAAUGCGUAGAUAUAUGGAAGAACACCAGUGGCGAAGGCGGCUACCUGGUCUGCAACUGACGCUGAGACUCGAAAGCAUGGGUAGCGAACAGGAUUAGAUACCCUGGUAGGAUAGCG